This 253-nucleotide ribosomal RNA is filed under the name uncultured bacterium. RNAcentral describes it as "partial 16S ribosomal RNA". It matches the Rfam family "Bacterial small subunit ribosomal RNA", at positions 524 to 776 of the family's 1533-position model. The record is from RNAcentral.
UACGUAGGGUGCAAGCGUUGUCCGGAUUCACUGGGUGUAAAGGGUGCGCAGGCGGAUGGGGAAGUCAGAGGUGAAAUCUCACAGCUCAACUGUGAAACUGCCUUUGAUACUCUUCAUCUUGAGUUCGGGAGAGGUUGAUGGAAUUCCAGGUGUAGCGGUGAAAUGCGUAGAUAUCUGGAAGAACACCGGUGGCGAAGGCGGUCAACUGGCCCGCAACUGACGCUGAGGCACGAAAGCGUGGGGAUCAAACAGG